AGUAGAUAUCCCGCUGGGUACAGUGCACACACCACAUACCACAAACACAUAUUCACCACACGAAAGUUCCCUCCUCUCUUUCUGAUCAGCUGCGCCCUUUAUAUUGAGUUGUUUGUUGCUCAUUCCCUGUCGGAUCGUUGUUUGCUCACUCUCGUUUUUUUUUCAGUGUUCUCCUGUCUCCAGUUUGCUGCACUCAGCUCCGACCAUUUAGGAAGUUACCCUGUGGAGUUACUGGCAGUCUAUUGUGGAGCCACCUGUUACUGUGAGGAACUCUUACUAUUCUCUGUGGAAUUUGUUGUUCCUUUGCUCACUCUCCGGUUUUUCAGAAGUUCAUCAAACAACUGUGGUAAGAAUCUUUCAUCAAGCACGCCACCAGAUCCAGUCUGUUUCCAAGUCAGAAGGUCACUGCAGUCACCUGGAUCCAGUAUGUAUCCAGCCCAGAUGGUGGAUCAGCACCUAGAAAGAACCUCUACAGCCCUGAAAGACAGCGGAGACCAGGACAACUAGAGCCCCAGAGACAGAUCCCCUAUAAAGACCUUGUCUCAGACAACCACCGGGACAAGACCACAGGAAACAGAUGAUUCUUCUGCACAAUCUGUCUUAGCUGCAGACUGGAAUUGAACUGCUGGUUUCGUCUGGUCAGAGGAGAACUGGCCCCCCGACUGAGCCUGGUUUCUCCCAAGGUUUUUUCUCCAUUCUGUCACCGAUGGAGUUUUGGUUCCUUGCCGCUGUCGCCUCUGGCUUGCUUAGUUGGGGACACUUCAUUUACAGCGAUAUCGUUGACUUGAUUGCAAAUUAUUGCACAGAUACUAUUUAAACUGAACUUAGCUGCAUGAUGACAUCACUGAAUUCAAUGAUUAACUGCCUUUAACUGUCAUUUUGCAUUAUUGACACACUGUUUUCCUAAUUAAUGUUGUUCAGUUGCUUUGACACAAUCUUUUUUGUUUUGCUAUAUAAAUAAAGGUGACUUGACUUGACUUGACUUUGACUGUUGUCCGGGAUCUCAGUCUGCUGCCCAUUGUAGUCCCUGCGCUACUGAGGAAUUAUCUGCACCCACUAUUUUUCUGAUAUCUUUAUGCUGUUCCCUUUUGGUCUUCAGAAAAUAAACCUUUGUACACUUGCAACUGAGUCUAGUCUUUUUCGGAAAUACCCUAACAGUUUGGUUGCCAGCUGAGCAGGUGCACAUGCCAUCUUGAUAGCACAUGGACAGUUUCACACCUUACAUUUCCCUGUUCCAGUUUCAUCCU
Molecule: long non-coding RNA, 1247 nt
Organism: Cyprinus carpio carpio
Lineage: Eukaryota; Metazoa; Chordata; Actinopteri; Cypriniformes; Cyprinidae
Source: Ensembl